This is a non-coding RNA of Gossypium raimondii (Peruvian cotton), 143 nucleotides long. Lineage: Eukaryota; Viridiplantae; Streptophyta; Magnoliopsida; Malvales; Malvaceae. The record is from Rfam.
UAUUAAAAAAUUAAUCCAUUUCUACUACUAAAAACUGGUAUGGCUAACAGAAUAACCAAAUAGUUACACAUAGUGUCACUUGUACCUUGUACUGAUGUACAUAAAUCAAUUUUCAACAGUAAAAAUAGAUGAAACUUUUAACA